RNAcentral lists this unclassified non-coding RNA (307 nucleotides) under Hevea brasiliensis (rubber tree). The record is from RNAcentral. Lineage: Eukaryota; Viridiplantae; Streptophyta; Magnoliopsida; Malpighiales; Euphorbiaceae.
GUAUCUGGCUUACGAAAAUUUGAGACAUAUGGUGUAGUUGGUUCCUUCAAAAGAACACAAUAUUUUGUUAAAAAAUUUCCACAAACAGCAAGAAAUUCAUGGAACAUGCUAAUUUUCUUUUGUUUAUUUCCCCUAAACAAUCUUUGCAUGGAAACUGAGACCAGUGUUUGUUGCUUCCUGAAAAUUUGCUGUUUCAAUUAUUAUAAGUCCUGAAUUUUCCUGACAAUUUUUCGUUUACUUCUGCUUUUCUUUCAAAUGAUGCUGUACUUUUGCUUCCUGUUGCAGGGUUUCCAUCCCUCUGAUUCUA